CUUCGUACUCCCAUGAGUCCUUUAUUCCCAUGGCUCAGUCACAUCCCUUUUCCUGAGAGUCCCAAGUUGGUUUAUUCUCAGCGUGACAGAAUGGUGGGGGUGUUUAGCUGGAAUCCUCAUUGUGUGUUGAACAUGCACAUUUUAAAAGUCUUUUAAUUUCUAUUUAGGCAGAGUUUACCCAAGGGACAUCUCCUUUCCUCCUGAGUUUUCUCCCUCAUCAAAGGACCACAAGGUUGUCUAAGUUGCUUCAGGAAAUGCUUGAAUGUGUACUUUAAAAAUGGUAGAACACAAUAUUUUCCUUUAGUCUCAAGGUCAGAAAUAGCUGAUCUUUGUUUUUCCCUCCCACUAGAAGUUCAUUCAAAAUCAGACACCCACACUAUAAUGUAGUUUCAAGGAAAAAAUGUGGCACAACCAUAAAUGCUUCAAGGCACGAUCCUAUUCUGGAAAGCACUGGGCAACCAUCGCUUGAGAUUCCUGCUAGCCUUAUGUAGCCUUAUUUGUUGCAUAUAUAUAUAUAUACACACACAUACAUACAUUCAUAUUCAUGCCAAUAGCUUAUUAUGUAAACACAUGCUUAUCUCUAAAGCCUGGGAACAUUUAAAAAACUAAAUCAUAACCACAGCAGUACAUAUUUUAAGCUUAGUGCUCUUCAUUCAGUCAAAAACCAGCCAAAAUACUCCUGUUAAAUUACUUGCAUGAUUUUCUAUCUUGUUUCUGCUAGCUAUCAUAGUCGUAAUUUAAAUUUUGAUGUUUUUUCAUGUUUCUGCAAAACAGCAUUUCAGGGCCCUUCAGCUUUGCUACUGCAGGAACAGCCUCAGUGGUUCACCUGGGCUGCUCAGGAGUGUGAGGCUGCAGAAAGGCUAUAUACAAAACUGGAUGUGCACCUUAUCUCCCUUCUCUCUAUAUCUUCAUGCUCCAGUGCCAGGAGAUGGAACGACUGCUGGAUAGAUUCUCUCAUAUGCAAUGCCAGUGUUCAACACCUCCUAGUGCUGGUGGAAGGUGAUGACAGCUCCUCAGUGACUCAAAGGGUGAAAUUUUUGCCACCGGGUAAUGAGAAUGUCUAGAUGUACAUCAGUGUGCAUGAAUUAGAACAAGCUGCUGGCAUUCAGGGGCCCCAGUCAUCCUUGGUGCAUACUUUCCCUCUCAUCUGUGUUUGCAAGAUACCCUCAAGAAGAUUCAGGGACCUGUUUCUAGUAGGAUUCAGGAAUGACCCUGGUACAACAUAUUAAUAAGAAAAGUGUACACCUUCAAUAUGAGGGAAUUUAUCUUCUUUCUAUCAACAAUGAUCUUCAAGUUUGGAUAAUCUCUGUUUUGGUAGUGUUUCUUUAAAUGAGAGCUCUUAGACUUCUUUUUUGUUAUGAAAAAUGAAACAGCAUGUCUGAAGUCUCUUAUCUCCCUGAGCAAGGCCACAGCAUUUUGCUGAGGUGAGUUCAGUGCCAGAUCUUGGUGUGGAGAGUAAGCAGAGAGGCAGCCCAGAGCAUUUAGAUACCAGACCUCUGAAUGCCACCUUACACUGCCAGGAAUCUCAAAAGCAAAAUAUGCUGCUAGUAUCUGAAAAACAAAUAACACUGGCCACAUUAAUUUAUUGCAGUGUGAAGAAGUUCUAUUACCACUUCUCUGCAGAGAGUUAUCAGAUUUUAUGAUAUAGCCAAAGAUAAGAUCUUUAGCUCAGGAAGUCCCUUAGCUGGUCUUAUCUUAGUGGUGUAACACUUCCAAUGACAUCAUAUGUGGCUAGGUUACACACACAUGUUAGUCAAACAAGAGAAGAAACUUAAUGUUUGGAAAACCAAAAACAAAAUCAAAGAGAGAAGGAUUACUGGCAUGAAAAAGUUCAAGAGCUGUCAGCACUUCUGAAGUUAUUGCUAAAAAAAGUGGCCUUAGAGAUUUCUUUCUUUUUUUUUUAAUUAUUUGCUUUCAUUUAAAUAAAAUCUUUAUUGUAUACGAAUAUGUUUUUCAUAUUGUAUAUGAAGAUGUUUCUUCAUGCUUGAGUGCUUUUCAAAAGGAUGUAAGUUUACACUUAAUAUUUUAUAUCUCCAUAGCUUCUCUUAACUGAUACUACAGUGAGUGAAUUAGGACAUAUACUGUGGAUGAUAUAAAUAACAUACUCUUCUUGUGGAAGUGUCCUUAAAUAAAGAUUUUUAGCUUUGACUUAGAAUAUCUUUUCACAGCAAACACAUGUCUUUUAUUUGUCAUUUUUCAUGACCUUUUAUUUCAAGAAUGUCUGCACAUAUGCUGACAUUUUGUAUUUGUCAUCCCUUAGACAUAGUAAUUGCUCUAUUUGCCUUCUAGUGCCACAGAGUUCAUUCGUAGAGCCAUUUCUUUUUAUUGCUAUACACUCUAAGGCUUUUCCAUCAUGCAUUCCAUUCACUUACAGAAAAGAAAGGUAAAAUCUUCAUUUUUGCAACAGUGACUAAAGCAUCAUUGCCUUGGGUACUUUUCUCCUUUGUUGCAGAUAGUAGCAACAACUAUUCAUGUAAUGAAUAUAUUUUAUCUUUAACUUACUGGGUUUUCCAGCUUAAUACUACUGUUUUUUGCCAUUACACCUGCUUCUUUGAUGGUAAUUAAUGUCCUUCUU
RNAcentral lists this long non-coding RNA (2575 nucleotides) under Taeniopygia guttata (zebra finch). Its description in RNAcentral is "lncRNA (ENSTGUG00000029254.1)". The record is from RNAcentral. Lineage: Eukaryota; Metazoa; Chordata; Aves; Passeriformes; Estrildidae.